AUCUUGGGGAGUCUCACUGACUCUGUUUUACAGAAUCACCACCAUGUCCCUGUGAGGCAGUGUUUCCUCUAACUUGAGAAAUAUGGCUUCGUCUUUGUUUUGGAUGGCACGCUGGGUUUUGAAGGUGAAACCAGGAUCACCAGAAUGUGAUCUGGAUUUUGUGACUGGAGUUUGCAGAAGAGUUUUCAGAAACUCAAUAACAAGAGCUACAAGCUACAAACUGAAUCUUAGAGGAGUUCAACGUGAAGACGAGGUUCCAGCCCACAGAGAGCUCCUGGCUGAGCCACACAGCCCUGAAGCCAGCAGCUCCCACACAGACAUUGCAAGGAGGUGCAGGAGGAGGUCACUGCCUUGCAGCUUCCCAGACGUUUUCUUCCCUCUGGUUCCAUGUUUGUGUGCUGCAUUCCUGGUUACCUGCAUUCAUCAGCUCUGCUGUUGUAAUAGGCUAUUGCCUGCACGCUAAUAACCUCCUGUUCUUUAAUGCUCUCUUUCUAUUUAAUUAAUCUAUUUAUGAUAAUAGUAUGUCUCAUUUUGCGCUUUCACUCUAGAGGGUGUGUUUGUAUUAUCCCGCUGUAUAGCACUGACUGGCCCUAUUAUCAGUUAUCAUUAAAGGCAGCGGCCUGGCCUGCCAAUAAUU
This 637-nucleotide long non-coding RNA is filed under the name Coturnix japonica (Japanese quail). Its description in RNAcentral is "lncRNA (ENSCJPG00005001750.1)". The record is from RNAcentral. Lineage: Eukaryota; Metazoa; Chordata; Aves; Galliformes; Phasianidae.